Molecule: long non-coding RNA, 205 nt
Organism: Prunus dulcis (almond)
Lineage: Eukaryota; Viridiplantae; Streptophyta; Magnoliopsida; Rosales; Rosaceae
Exons: 3
Source: RefSeq, a predicted model, not a curated record
UUUAGAUGGAAAAAAACGCACGUUUCGUCUCCCUCUCACUCUCACCUUCUUCCUCCUAAAUUCUAAAUCAACUCCUCCCUCGAAGAUCAUGGAGGCCACCAUCAAUCCAAUCUCAUAUUGACUGCUUUUCCAAUAGAAUUGUUUAAAUAUUCGGAGGAUUGUUUGUUGAUAGCAAGAUUGAAUCAAGGACUGCUAUUAGUUAUUC